CCUACGGGAGGCAGCAGUGGGGAAUAUUGCACAAUGGGGGAAACCCUGAUGCAGCGACGCCGCGUGAGUGAAGAAGUAAUUCGUUAUGUAAAGCUCUAUCAGCAGGGAAGAAAAUGACGGUACCUGAGUAAGAAGCCCCGGCUAACUACGUGCCAGCAGCCGCGGUAAUAAGUAGGGGGCAAGCGUUAUCCGGAUUUACUGGGUGUAAAGGGAGCGUAGACGGCUGUGCAAGUCUGGAGUGAAAGGCGGGGGCUCAACCCCCGGACUGCUCUGGAAACUGUACGGCUGGAGUGCAGGAGAGGUAAGUGGAAUUCCUGGUGUAGCGGUGAAAUGCGUAGAUAUUAGGCGGAACACCAGUGGCGAAGGCGGCUUACUGGACUGUAACUGACGUUGAGGCUCGAAAGCGUGGGGAGCAAAUAGGAUUAGAUACCCUUGUAGUC
RNAcentral lists this ribosomal RNA (440 nucleotides) under uncultured bacterium. Its description in RNAcentral is "partial 16S ribosomal RNA". It matches the Rfam family "Bacterial small subunit ribosomal RNA", at positions 338 to 795 of the family's 1533-position model. The record is from RNAcentral.